UAUUAUUUUCAAUAAAAUUAAAUUUAAACCAAGGUAGUAAUAGAUAUAGGCUAAAAACUUAAAAAAUUUGGCGGUGUUUUAGUCUUUUCAGAGGAAUCUGUUCUGUAAUUGAAAGUACACGAUAAUAAAUACUUGAUUUAGGAAGGUUUGUAUACCGCCGUCGUAAGAAUAUUUUAAGGAGAAAAUUAAAUUUCGGAAUAAAAGAAUAAUUUUUAUGUCAGGUCAAGGUGCAGUUUAUAAUUAAGAAGAAAUGGAUUACAAUAUAUUAUAAAUAUACGGAAUAAGCAAAAAAAAAUUAGGAAGGUGGAUUUGAUUGUAAAUUAAUUGUUAUAAUUAAUUGAUUAGAGCUCUAGAACAUGUACAUAUUGCCCGUCGCUCUCGUUUAUAAUGAG
RNAcentral lists this ribosomal RNA (392 nucleotides) under Eunemobius carolinus. RNAcentral describes it as "partial 12S ribosomal RNA". Lineage: Eukaryota; Metazoa; Arthropoda; Insecta; Orthoptera; Trigonidiidae. The record is from RNAcentral.